RNAcentral lists this ribosomal RNA (253 nucleotides) under uncultured bacterium. RNAcentral describes it as "partial 16S ribosomal RNA". It matches the Rfam family "Bacterial small subunit ribosomal RNA", at positions 524 to 776 of the family's 1533-position model. The record is from RNAcentral.
UACGAAGGGGGCUAGCGUUGCUCGGAAUUACUGGGCGUAAAGGGAGCGUAGGUGGACAGUUUAGUCAGAGGUGAAAGCCCAGGGCUCAACCUUGGAAUUGCCUUUGAUACUGGCUGUCUUGAGUACGGAAGAGGUAUGUGGAACUCCGAGUGUAGAGGUGAAAUUCGUAGAUAUUGGGAAGAACACCGAUGGCGAAGGCAGCCAUCUGGACCGACACUGACGCUGAGGCGCGAAAGCGUGGGGAGCAAACAGG